Molecule: ribosomal RNA, 467 nt
Filed under: uncultured bacterium
Lineage: Bacteria
Description: partial 16S ribosomal RNA
Rfam family: Bacterial small subunit ribosomal RNA
Source: RNAcentral
ACGAACGCUGGCGGCGUGCUUAACACAUGCAAGUCGAACGGAAAGGCCCUGCUUUUGUGGGGUGCUCGAGUGGCGAACGGGUGAGUAACACGUGAGUAACCUGCCCUUGACUUUGGGAUAACUUCAGGAAACUGGGGCUAAUACCGGAUAGGAGCUCCUGCUGCAUGGUGGGGGUUGGAAAGUUUCGGCGGUUGGGGAUGGACUCGCGGCUUAUCAGCUUGUUGGUGGGGUAGUGGCUUACCAAGGCUUUGACGGGUAGCCGGCCUGAGAGGGUGACCGGCCACAUUGGGACUGAGAUACGGCCCAGACUCCUACGUGAGGCAGCAGUGGGGAAUAUUGCACAAUGGGCGGAAGCCUGAUGCAGCAACGCCGCGUGCGGGAUGACGGCCUUCGGGUUGUAAACCGCUUUCGCCUGUGACGAAGCGUGAGUGACGGUAAUGGGUAAAGAAGCACCGGCUAACUACGUG